AAGUCGUAACAAGGUUUCCGUAGGUGAACCUGCGGAAGGAUCAUUAUCGAGUUUUGAAACGGGUUGUAGCUGGUCUCAAUACGGGACAUGUGCACGCCUGACUCAUCCACUCUCAAACCCCUGUGCACUUAUUGUAGGUCGGUGGAAAGACUUGGUUUUUUUUAUUAAGUCAAGUCGGAAGCCUUCCUAUGUUUUUACUACAAACGCUUCAGUUAUAGAAUGUCAUACGCGUAUAACGCAUUUAUAUACAACUUUCAGCAACGGAUCUCUUGGCUCUC
RNAcentral lists this unclassified non-coding RNA (278 nucleotides) under air metagenome. Its description in RNAcentral is "partial contains small subunit ribosomal RNA, internal transcribed spacer 1, and 5.8S ribosomal RNA". The stretch from base 1 to 46 matches the Rfam family "Eukaryotic small subunit ribosomal RNA", at positions 1786 to 1831 of the family's 1831-position model. The record is from RNAcentral.